Molecule: ribosomal RNA, 440 nt
Filed under: uncultured bacterium
Lineage: Bacteria
Description: partial 16S ribosomal RNA
Rfam family: Bacterial small subunit ribosomal RNA
Source: RNAcentral
CCUACGGGAGGCAGCAGUGGGGAAUAUUGCACAAUGGGGGAAACCCUGAUGCAGCGACGCCGCGUGAGUGAAGAAGUAUCUCGGUACGUAAAGCUCUAUCAGCAGGGAAGAAAAUGACGGUACCUGACUAAGAAGCCCCGGCUAACUACGUGCCAGCAGCCGCGGUAAUACGUCGGGGGCAAGCGUUAUCCGGAUUUACUGGGUGUAAAGGGAGCGUAGACGGCAGCACAAGUCUGGAGUGAAAUCCCGUGGCUUAACCCCGGAACUGCUUUGGAAACUGGGCGGCUGGAGGGCAGAAGGGGUAAGCGGAAUUCCUAGGGUAGCGGUGAAAUGCGUAGAUAUUAGGAGGAACACCGGUGGCGAAGGCGGCUUACUGGACUGUAACUGACGUUGAGGCUCGAAAGCGUGGGGAGCAAACAGGAUUAGAUACCCUUGUAGUC